AGAUCUAUAAGGUACUGCCAGUGCAAGGAGGGGCUCAACCCCAUCUAUCAAGCUGCCCUCCUGCACAAGAAGAAUAUCCUAAAAUAACAUGACUGGGAUCUCUACGGAAAGGACUCUAGAGAUAGUGCCCAGAGGAGGCAUAGCUCAAGCCCACCUCCUCCAGGAUGCCCUCCUGGCACAGGCCAUCUCAGCCUUUCUGAAGCACCCACACGUUUGACCUUGACCUCCACCCCAGCCUUUUUCCUAUCUGCCUGAGACAAGCGAUGCACCAUAUCAAGGGGAGGUCUGUCCCCUUUUCCCAUCACCAUACCAACACCCAUCCUGGGAGAG
Molecule: long non-coding RNA, 330 nt
Filed under: Equus caballus (horse)
Lineage: Eukaryota; Metazoa; Chordata; Mammalia; Perissodactyla; Equidae
Description: lncRNA (ENSECAG00000044429.1)
Source: RNAcentral